This 351-nucleotide ribosomal RNA is filed under the name Triticum aestivum (bread wheat). RNAcentral describes it as "partial small subunit ribosomal RNA". Lineage: Eukaryota; Viridiplantae; Streptophyta; Magnoliopsida; Poales; Poaceae. The record is from RNAcentral.
AUGGCCAUUCGAGUGUUGCUCCUUGCAGGAGCUCUCCUGGCCCUGGCAUGCUCGCAUGGCGCCACCGCCUCCGACCCCAGCCUUCUCCAAGACUUCUGCGUCGCUGACAAAAUGUCUCCAGUGCAUGUCAACGGACUGGCUUGCAAGGACGCGGAAGAAGUCACGGCCGAGGACUUCUACUUCUCUGGCCUCCACGUGACCGGCAACACGACGAACAAGCAGGGCUCUGCGGUGACCGCCGUCAAUGUCGCACAGAUCGGCGGACUGAAUACCAUGGGUGUCUCCCUUGUUCGCAUCGACUACGCGCCGUUUGGCCUCAACCCUCCCCACACCCACCCGCGUUCCACCUAG